GACGAACGCUGGCGGCGUGCUUAACACAUGCAAGUCGAACGGAAAGGCCCUGCGUUUGUGGGGUGCUCGAGUGGCGAACGGGUGAGUAACACGUGAGUAACCUGCCCUUGACUGUGGGAUAACUUCAGGAAACUGGGGCUAAUACCGGAUAGGAGCUCCUGCUGCAUGGUGUGGGUUGGAAAGUUUCGGCGGUUGGGGAUGGACUCGCGGCUUAUCAGCUUGUUGGUGGGGUAGUGGCUUACCAAGGCUUUGACGGGUAGCCGGCAUGAGAGGGUGACCGGCCACCAUGGGACUGAGAGACGGCCCAGAAUCCUACGGGAGGCAGCAGUGGGGAAUAUUGCACAAUGGGCGGAAGCCUGAUGCAGCAACGCCGCGUGCGGGAUGCCGGCUUUCGGGUUGUAAACCGAUUUCGAAUGUGACGAAGCGUGAGUGACGGUAAUGGGUAAAGAAGCACCGGCUAACUACGUG
RNAcentral lists this ribosomal RNA (468 nucleotides) under uncultured bacterium. RNAcentral's name for it is "partial 16S ribosomal RNA". It matches the Rfam family "Bacterial small subunit ribosomal RNA", at positions 28 to 507 of the family's 1533-position model. The record is from RNAcentral.